AAAGUACUCCCUCCGUCCCAAAAAUUUUGUCUUAGAUUUGUCUAGAUACGGAUGUAUCAAGUCACAUUUUAGUAUUAGAUACAUCCGUAUCUAGACAAAUCUAAGACAAGAAAUUUGGGAUAAAGGGAGUAGUUG
Molecule: non-coding RNA, 135 nt
Organism: Triticum aestivum (bread wheat)
Lineage: Eukaryota; Viridiplantae; Streptophyta; Magnoliopsida; Poales; Poaceae
Source: Rfam